Molecule: ribosomal RNA, 427 nt
Filed under: uncultured Alphaproteobacteria bacterium
Lineage: Bacteria; Pseudomonadati; Pseudomonadota; Alphaproteobacteria
Description: bacterial SSU rRNA
Rfam family: Bacterial small subunit ribosomal RNA
Source: RNAcentral
AACGCGAAGAACCUUACCAGGGCUUGACAUGGGGAGGACGCAGUCAGAGAUGGCUGUUCCCGCAAGGGCCUCCUGCACAGGUGCUGCAUGGCUGUCGUCAGCUCGUGUCGUGAGAUGUUGGGUUAAGUCCCGCAACGAGCGCAACCCUCGCCUUUAGUUGCCAGCACGUUUGGGUGGGCACUCUAAAGGAACUGCCGGUGACAAGCCGGAGGAAGGUGGGGAUGACGUCAAGUCCUCAUGGCCCUUAUGUCCUGGGCUACACACGUGCUACAAUGGCGGUGACAGCGGGAAGCCAGGUCGCAAGGCCGAGCCGAUCCCGAAAAGCCGUCUCAGUUCAGAUUGCACUCUGCAACUCGGGUGCAUGAAGGUGGAAUCGCUAGUAAUCGUGGAUCAGCAUGCCACGGUGAAUACGUUCCCGGGCCUUGUA